This 32-nucleotide non-coding RNA is filed under the name unclassified sequences. The record is from Rfam.
GAUUGUAAACUUUCUCUCUGCAAUCGCGGCUG